Molecule: ribosomal RNA, 305 nt
Filed under: uncultured Desulfobulbus sp.
Lineage: Bacteria; Pseudomonadati; Thermodesulfobacteriota; Desulfobulbia; Desulfobulbales; Desulfobulbaceae
Description: bacterial SSU rRNA
Rfam family: Bacterial small subunit ribosomal RNA
Source: RNAcentral
GGGUUAAGUCCCGCAACGAGCGCAACCCUUGCCUUUAGUUGCCAGCAGUUCGGCUGGGCACUCUAAAGGGACUGCCGGUGUUAAACCGGAGGAAGGUGGGGAUGACGUCAAGUCCUCAUGGCCUUUAUGACCAGGGCUACACACGUACUACAAUGGCCGAUACAAAGGGCAGCGACACUGCGAGGUGAAGCCAAUCCCGUAAAAUCGGUCUCAGUCCGGAUUGGAGUCUGCAACUCGACUCCAUGAAGUUGGAAUCGCUAGUAAUCGUGGAUCAGCAUGUCACGGUGAAUACGUUCCCGGGCCUU